AUUGAACGCUGGCGGUAUGCUUUACACAUGCAAGUCGAACGGCAGCACGGGGCAACCUGGUGGCGAGUGGCGAACGGGUGAGUAACAUAUCGGAACAUAUCCGGAAGUGGGGGAUAACGUACCGAAAGGUACGCUAAUACCGCAUAUGCCCUGAGGGGGAAAGGGGGGGAUCGCAAGACCUCUCGCUUUCGGAGUGGCCGAUAUCGGAUUAGCUAGAUGGUGAGGUAAAGGCUCACCAUGGCGACGAUCCGUAGCUGGUCUGAGAGGACGACCAGCCACACUGGAACUGAGACACGGUCCAGACUCCUACGGGAGGCAGCAGUGGGGAAUUUUGGACAAUGGGCGCAAGCCUGAUCCAGCCAUACCGCGUGAGUGAAGAAGGCCUUCGGGUUGUAAAGCUCUUUCAGCCGGAAAGAAACGGUCACGGUUAAUAACCGUGGCUAAUGACGGUACCGGAAGAAGAAGCACCGGCUAACUACGUGCCAGCCGCCGCAGUAA
Molecule: ribosomal RNA, 498 nt
Filed under: uncultured bacterium
Lineage: Bacteria
Description: partial 16S ribosomal RNA
Rfam family: Bacterial small subunit ribosomal RNA
Source: RNAcentral